GUCUUUUUGAGUUUAAUUUAAAGUCUAACCUGCCCAUUGAAUAAUUUUAAAAGGCUGCAGUAUUUUGACUGUACAAAGGUAGCAUAAUCAUUAGUUUUUUAAUUGAAAACUUGUAUGAAUGGUUGAAUGAGAAAUUAACUUUUUUAAAUAAAAUAAUGAAUUUUACUUUUAAAUUAAAAGGUUUAAAUAUAAUUAAAAGACGAGAAGACCCUAUAGAGUUUUAUAAUUAAAAUAUUAAUUUUAAAAAAGAUUAAAUAUAAUUUUAUUAAUUAAAUUAUUUUAUUGGGGUGAUAGUAUAAUUUAAUUAACUUAUAUUUUUAUUUUACAUUAAUAUAUGAAAAAUUGAUCCAAUAAUAUUGAUUAAAAAUUUAAAUUACCUUAGGGAUAACAGCGUAAUUUUUUUUUAAGUUCAUAUUAAUAAAAAAUUUUGCGACCUCGAUGUUGGAUUAAGAUUUAAUUUUAGGUGCAGUAGUUUAAAAUUUAAGUCUGUUCGACUUUUAAAUUCUU
This 507-nucleotide ribosomal RNA is filed under the name Zygoneura sciarina. Its description in RNAcentral is "partial 16S ribosomal RNA". Lineage: Eukaryota; Metazoa; Arthropoda; Insecta; Diptera; Sciaridae. The record is from RNAcentral.